Molecule: unclassified non-coding RNA, 149 nt
Filed under: uncultured Dothideomycetes
Lineage: Eukaryota; Fungi; Ascomycota; Dothideomycetes
Description: sequence contains ITS2
Source: RNAcentral
UCAACCAUCAAGCCCUGCUUGGUAUUGGGUGUCGUCCCUGCUGCGGACGCUCCUUAAAGUGAUUGGCGGCGGUGUUGAACCUCAAGCGUAGUAGAAUCUCUAGCUUUUUAGGUUUGGCGUCGCUCUGCCUCGAGAAACUUUCAUCUCAA